This 842-nucleotide ribosomal RNA is filed under the name Lactiplantibacillus plantarum. RNAcentral's name for it is "bacterial SSU rRNA". It matches the Rfam family "Bacterial small subunit ribosomal RNA", at positions 66 to 878 of the family's 1533-position model. Lineage: Bacteria; Bacillati; Bacillota; Bacilli; Lactobacillales; Lactobacillaceae. The record is from RNAcentral.
ACGAACUCUGGUAUUGAUUGGUGCUUGCAUCAUGAUUUACAUUUGAGUGAGUGGCGAACUGGUGAGUAACACGUGGGAAACCUGCCCAGAAGCGGGGGAUAACACCUGGAAACAGAUGCUAAUACCGCAUAACAACUUGGACCGCAUGGUCCGAGUUUGAAAGAUGGCUUCGGCUAUCACUUUUGGAUGGUCCCGCGGCGUAUUAGCUAGAUGGUGGGGUAACGGCUCACCAUGGCAAUGAUACGUAGCCGACCUGAGAGGGUAAUCGGCCACAUUGGGACUGAGACACGGCCCAAACUCCUACGGGAGGCAGCAGUAGGGAAUCUUCCACAAUGGACGAAAGUCUGAUGGAGCAACGCCGCGUGAGUGAAGAAGGGUUUCGGCUCGUAAAACUCUGUUGUUAAAGAAGAACAUAUCUGAGAGUAACUGUUCAGGUAUUGACGGUAUUUAACCAGAAAGCCACGGCUAACUACGUGCCAGCAGCCGCGGUAAUACGUAGGUGGCAAGCGUUGUCCGGAUUUAUUGGGCGUAAAGCGAGCGCAGGCGGUUUUUUAAGUCUGAUGUGAAAGCCUUCGGCUCAACCGAAGAAGUGCAUCGGAAACUGGGAAACUUGAGUGCAGAAGAGGACAGUGGAACUCCAUGUGUAGCGGUGAAAUGCGUAGAUAUAUGGAAGAACACCAGUGGCGAAAGGCGGCUGUCUGGUCUGUAACUGACGCUGAGGCUCGAAAGUAUGGGUAGCAACAGGAUUAGAUACCCUGGUAGUCAUACCGUAACGAUGAUGCUAGUGUGGAGGGUUUCCGCCCUUCAGUGCUGCAGCUAACGCAUAAGCAUUCCGCCUGGGG